AGACGACAUGCAGGAGCACUAUGAGAAUGUGACCUCGCUGGGGCUUCCAGUUUUCAAACCUGAUGUGAUCUCAGAGCUGGAACAAUGGGAAGAGCCAUUGGUCCCAGACCUCCAGGGUUCAGAGGAAAGAGAGAUCUGAGAGCUCCCUGCACAGGUGAUGCAAUGGUAUGUGAGAAGAGGAGCAGACUUGUCAGCAGGAAAUGUUGAGCAAGUGGAUAAACACAGAGCAUUAUCGCAAAGAUCAAAAAGCAGUGUGACCAGGAGUCAUGAUCAGGACAAUCCUGUGAGAUUCAGCAGAAAUCAGAAGAGAGCACGGAAACCAUCCAGGGGAGAAAGUGGGUAAAUGUAUUUCCUGUCGGAGAACUCAGAAGGACCUCAAGGAAACGACAACACUGCAGGAAAUCCUCAAGAGAAAGAGAAAAAAUACAUUCAGUGAGUGUGGGAAAAACUUAAGUGACUACUCAGUCAUUACAAAGCAUCAGAGAAUCUGCCCAGGGGUGAGGCCCUAUGAAUGCAGUGAGUGUGGGAAAUGCUUCACUAAGAGCUCAGCCCUUUCUGAACAUUGGAGAAUCCAC
Gopherus evgoodei (Goodes thornscrub tortoise) is the source of this 575-nucleotide long non-coding RNA. RefSeq lists it as uncharacterized. Lineage: Eukaryota; Metazoa; Chordata; Testudines; Testudinidae. The record is from RefSeq and is a predicted model, not a curated record. The transcript has 3 exons.